GAUAAAGCAAGUGUACUAAUGCUGAGGGGUCAUUUUAUAGUAUCAAAAUUAACCCCCAAAAGCUAAUUGGAUCGAAAUAACGUAAUUCUUUCAUAAGCAACACACUUCUAAUGUGUCUAAUGUCUUAUUUCUGGACAGGCUUUUCAAAGUUUUUAAUAAUUCUUGUGCCGUCCAUGAUGGUGAAAUUGUGGCGGGCCUUCUCUCCUCAACUGUUGCCUGCCAUGACUGUGAGGUUCAUUCCAUCCUGAUUAUAAUUGCUUUCAUCUUGUAUCGUGACUGUUUUCAAUUCUUCAGGGCCCUGUCAACUCAGCAAGGUUCACAGAGGUUGCUGUGGUUUAGCCUGGCAGAACGAUGGGGAAGCGAGCCUUCUGGAAAAGAUCGCUACGGAGACCACAUCCUACCCAUAGGGAGGUGACUAGAUACUGUGUGUAGAUACUGAUAUGCGCUGACCCAGGGGGCAGUACUACAUAUGAAAUGGGUCUCUGAGGCAGGUCCUACCUUAGAGUAAGGAUUGAACAACUGCCAGAAGAGACUGACAGAGCAGGUCUGUCAAAGGAAGAUAUGAGUUUACCAAGAGGGAAACCUUACCGUUGCAGAAUACACAUAUGGGAUUACUCGUAGGGAAUCAAGCCAUAUGGACACCUAGCCCAGUACAGGGGCUGACCGGGACUCCGGGCAUGCAAACACCUGGUCCUGGUGUCAGACUGCUCCGCCAAGCCUGACUGCCGGGGGGUGCUGGAGGAUGCUUGACCAGGAUUCACCAAUGGGGGAACUCUACUAGGAAAAGACAGUCACUU
Cyprinus carpio carpio is the source of this 797-nucleotide long non-coding RNA. NCBI's taxonomy places the organism in Eukaryota, Metazoa, Chordata, Actinopteri, Cypriniformes, Cyprinidae. The record is from Ensembl.